Molecule: ribosomal RNA, 497 nt
Filed under: uncultured bacterium
Lineage: Bacteria
Description: partial 16S ribosomal RNA
Rfam family: Bacterial small subunit ribosomal RNA
Source: RNAcentral
GAUGAACGCUGGCGGCGUGCCUAAUACAUGCAAGUCGAGCGAACGGACGAGAAGCUUGCUUUUCUGAUGUUAGCGGCGGACGGGUGAGUAACACGUGGAUAACCUACCUAUAAGACUGGGAUAACUUCGGGAAACCGGAGCUAAUACCGGAUAAUAUUUUGAACCGCAUGGUUCAAAAGUGAAAGACGGUCCUGCUGUCACUUAUAGAUGGAUCCGCGCUGCAUUAGCUAGUUGGUAAGGUAACGGCCUACCAAGGCAACGAUGCAUAGCCGACCUGAGAGGGUGAUCGGCCACACUGGAACUGAGACACGGUCCAGACUCCUACGGGAGGCAGCAGUAGGGAAUCUUCCGCAAAGGGCGAAAGCCUGACGGAGCAACGCCGCGUGAGUGAUGAAGGUCUUCGGAUCGUAAAACUCUGUUAUUAGGGAAGAACAUAUGUGUAAGUAACUGUGCACAUCUUGACGGUACCUAAUCAGAAAGCCACGGCUAACUACGUG